RNAcentral lists this ribosomal RNA (884 nucleotides) under Microcyclosporella mali. RNAcentral's name for it is "LSU rRNA". It matches the Rfam family "Eukaryotic large subunit ribosomal RNA", at positions 41 to 960 of the family's 3401-position model. The record is from RNAcentral. Lineage: Eukaryota; Fungi; Ascomycota; Dothideomycetes; Mycosphaerellales; Mycosphaerellaceae.
UAUCAAUAAGCGGAGGAAAAGAAACCAACAGGGAUUGCCCUAGUAACGGCGAGUGAAGCGGCAACAGCUCAAAUUUGAAAUCUGGCGCAAGCCCGAGUUGUAAUUUGUAGAGGAUGCUUCUGGGCAGCGGCCGGUCUAAGUUCCUUGGAACAGGACGUCACAGAGGGUGAGAAUCCCGUAUGUGACCGGCGCGCACCCUCCACGUAGCUCCUUCGACGAGUCGAGUUGUUUGGGAAUGCAGCUCUAAAUGGGAGGUAAAUUUCUUCUAAAGCUAAAUACCGGCCAGAGACCGAUAGCGCACAAGUAGAGUGAUCGAAAGAUGAAAAGCACUUUGGAAAGAGAGUUAAAAAGCACGUGAAAUUGUUGAAAGGGAAGCGCUUGCAACCAGACUCCGUGGCGGUGUUCCGCCGGUCUUCUGACCGGUCCACUCGCCGCCGCGGGGCCAACAUCGUCUGGGGCCGCCGGACAAGACUGGAGGAAUGUGGCUCCCUCGGGAGUGUUAUAGCCUUCAGUGAUGCGGCGCGUCCCGGGCGAGGUCCGCGCUUCGGCAAGGAUGUUGGCGUAAUGGUUGCCAGCGGCCCGUCUUGAAACACGGACCAAGGAGUCUAACAUCUAUGCGAGUGUUCGGGUGUCAAACCCCUACGCGUAAUGAAAGUGAACGGAGGUGGGAGCUUCGGCGCACCAUCGACCGAUCCUGAUGUCCUCGGAUGGAUUUGAGUAAGAGCAUAGCUGUUGGGACCCGAAAGAUGGUGAACUAUGCCUGAAUAGGGUGAAGCCAGAGGAAACUCUGGUGGAGGCUCGCAGCGGUUCUGACGUGCAAAUCGAUCGUCAAAUUUGGGUAUAGGGGCGAAAGACUAAUCGAACCAUCUAGUAGCUGGUUCUGC